UACAGAGGGUGCGAACGUUGCUCGGAAUUACUGGGCGUAAAGCGCACGUAGGUGGUUCGCUAAGUCAGCUGUGAAAUCCCCGGGCUCAACCUGGGACUUGCAGUCGAAACUGGUGAGCUAGAGUAGGGUAGAGGGGUGUGGAACUCCAGGUGUAGCGGUGAAAUGCGUAGAUAUCUGGAGGAACAUCAGUGGCGAAGGCGACACCCUGGACUCAUACUGACACUGAGGUGCGAAAGCGUGGGGAGCAAACAGG
This 253-nucleotide ribosomal RNA is filed under the name uncultured prokaryote. RNAcentral describes it as "partial 16S ribosomal RNA". It matches the Rfam family "Bacterial small subunit ribosomal RNA", at positions 524 to 776 of the family's 1533-position model. The record is from RNAcentral.